This 378-nucleotide unclassified non-coding RNA is filed under the name uncultured Gammaproteobacteria bacterium. RNAcentral's name for it is "contains 16S-23S intergenic spacer region". The record is from RNAcentral. Lineage: Bacteria; Pseudomonadati; Pseudomonadota; Gammaproteobacteria.
UCCGGCUCAUCACCGGCAGUCCACCCAGAGUCCCCGCCUCUACGCGCUGGCAACUGGGUGCAGGGGUUGCGCUCGUUACGGGACUUAACCCAACAUCUCACAACACGAGCUGACGACAGCCAUGCAGCACCUGUCUCACGGCUCCUCUCGGCACACCCGCAUCUCUGCAGGCUCCCGUGGAUGUCAAGGGCAGGUAAGGUUCUUCGCGUCGCGUCGAAUUAAACCACAUGCUCCACCGCUUGUGCGGGCCCCCGUCAAUUCCUUUGAGUUUUAGCCUUGCGGCCGUACUCCCCAGGCGGGGGACUUAUCGCGUUAGCUUCGAUACCAACAGGCUAGGCCUGCCAACAUCCAGUCCCCAUCGUUUACAGCGUGGACUAC